UAAUAAAAAAUAAAAAUGAAUAUGGAAAAGAACAAUUCGAUUAAAAGUUCCAUUUGUUUACACUCUUAAUUCGAUCCGUUGCUGUGCCAUCGGUGCCGCCGCCCUCCGCCUCAGCCGCCACUCGUCAGUUCUAGAAUCGCCCCAAAACACUUCUCCAGGUUCUUCUUUCCUCCCCCUUUCACGAUCUCUAGCCAAUUUUCUUUGAAACUUGAUGGAUUUGCAUAGAUCUAGGUUCAAAGAUCACGAUUUCUUUCUCCAAAAUCAUCUCUUUUGCUACUCCGACGGAUCUAAAAUUCAAGUAUGUUCUUCUUCCUUGCUUGAUCUUUCCCUUCACAAACUUUAAAGCUCCAAAACAACCUAGAUCAACCUCAAUUGGGAAUCUAAGAAAGAGUCCCUUUCUUCUUCUUUUUUUUUAAUUACUUGUCUGGCUUUGGUUUUGGUGCAAGUGGAGAUUGAAAAUGGAGAUAGCUCUGUGGUGAGGAUUGGUGUCUCAGUGCCCAGCGCAUAGGUUAGUGACUAGCUUCUUUUUUGGCUUUCUCUAUUUGCAAGUGUAGGUUGGCUAUGAUGGUUAAUAGUUGUGACAGAUUUGGUAGGGGAAUUUGCAAUGAAUCAAUUUUUUUUUUAGAAAUGUGUACGUCUUUCCCGGAUUCGUUGCUAUAUCUGAGCUUUGGAAAGGAUUGGAUGAAAAGAAUCUCUAAAGUGGCUUUAAGAAUGGGGAAAGAUUGAAUAAUAUUGUUAGGCUAAUUAAUGAUAGCAGUAGCCUGUUAAGGUGAGGUGAUAAUGAAGGCUAGAUCCUACCUUGUGUAUGAGCUGAGUUUUAUUGUUGAAAGUUGUUUGUGAUACUCUCUAUACUCUGGUGUUUGCUUUUAGUAUUACCUAAAGCUGUUGAUGACUAAUGGUAAUUAUGGGUUAUUGGUAGCAGAUGGUGGAGACUAUGUCAGCUCUCCCAUUUGAUUGUGGAAAUUGUUGUUCAAGUAGAAAAGGAAUAUCAAUUAAACUAGAGUUUAAGAUUAAAACAAAGUCUUGGUUCAAAAGGAUUUAUUUUGUAUUCGAAAAUUUUAUCCCGAGAUUGAAUUUAAAACUUUAUCUGCAAGAAGUAACUCCAUGAAAUUUUUUUUUUUUUGAAUUAUUUUAUUUUAUUUUUAAAUAAGUGAAAAAUAAAUAAAUAAAAACCAAAUUAAUAAUAGGUUUAUAACGCUGAUCAAGGCCAUGGCUUAGUUACACAAUUACAGCCCAAAAGAAAUUUAAAAGCCUAAAUUUUGAAAAAUGAAUUUCAAAGCUAAGAAACUUCAAUAAAUGCGGAUAAAAUAGGAUGUUUAUACUAAUUAAAAUAUUUUUAGCAUAAUUUUUUCGUAUGUGGUGUUGUUUGUAUGAAAUUAAAAAAAAUUUUUUCAUUUAUUGUAAGAAAAGGGAAUGCAUCAGAAUUUCUCACCAAUGAUAAAUUAAAGACCUAAUAUAAAUUAUGGAUCCGAUUGGUAGAUAUCAAGUUUCAUUAUAUAAUUAAAGGAAAUUAUAUUUGUUUUAUUUCUCUCCAUGAAAAAUAGAAUAAUUAUAGUUUUAAAAAAGAAAAGAAUAUUUUUGAGCAAGUAACAUGGGAAUAAACUCAGUUAGGAAAGUUCAUAAACUCUGGCUAUAUAAGAUAAUAAAUAUAUAAAGAAGUUCCAUUUCUUUUUACCAAUUAAACAAUCAAAUUUAUGAAAUGAAUUUAAUUAAAAACAUUAAGCCUUCAAGGUCUUAAAUACCUAUAUACUUUCUUAAAGUAAGAUAGAGAUUAAAAAGUUAGUGUGAAAAAUUUGUCCAUAAACCAUAUUUUUUAUUUAGGAAUUUUUGUACUAUAAAUUUAUGAACUUUAAACCCCAACCAAAGGAUUUAACAUAAAAAUUUAUAAAUUUAAUAAAAAUGAAAAAUAAAAAGUGAAGAAACAAGUACUUAGUGAUUUAAAAAAAAAAAAUCGAUCAAACAAAACAGUUAAUGAAAUAAAUUGAAUAUUAAUGUAAUUAAAAUAUCCCCUGCAUUUCAGGGGGGUAAAAAAACUAGUUAAAAAUUACUCCUAAAUUAAUUUUGGGUCAACCAUUGGUGUUGAAGAUUUACAUUUUAUCAUAAAUAAGAGUAUCUUGGUCUGUAAAUUGUAACUGUUGUUUUAUGUGUCCUUGGUAGAAACUUGUAUCUUGCCUUUUCUUUUUCCUUUUGUAAUAUCUCCUAUUUAUUUUCAUUCAUACUAUUGGUUGGUUUUGUCACUGAUUUUGGCUACUCUCUAUAUUUAUAUUAGUUUUAGCGGUUUCAACAUAAUUUGGACUUUUAUUUGAUUAGGUUCAAGGCCAUUUCUUAAAUAUAAAAUUAUAUUCCAAUUAUAAUGACUUUAUUUUUACGAUAAUAUUAUAUUCUUUAAUCAUAUUUGUUUUUAUAAGUAUAUGUUUGUCAAAUUGUACGAUCACUCUCUCUACUUUAGUUAAAAUAUGAACUUAGUCCUUCGUAUAAUAAUUUUAAUCAUGGCGAGUCCCUUUACUUUUCGUGAUUUUCAAUGUCCCUCCUAUCCUUAACACUGUUCAAAUUCUACUGGUAAAGUGGAUGACGUGGUAUUAAAUUGCUUAUGUGGCAUUUCUUAUAUUUGAUACAUGGCCUAGUUUUAACUGACGUGGAAUAAAAAUUCCACCUAGCCACCACCCUUAAACCCAUCUAAAUAAUAAUAAGAUAUAUUAUUUGGAAAAAAAUAAAAUAAAAUUUGGGAUGAAAAGAAGGUCAAAUUGUACCAAAAAAAAAAAAUGGUUGGGGUUUACCAAAUCCUCUUUGAUUUUAUUUUAUUUUUUUGUACAAGGAAAAAUAGGGUCGAGGGAAAUUGACUUGAAUUGGCUUAGGGUUUCAAUUUUACACCAAGAAAAGGGUAAGAAUCCAAAAUAAAAGAAAUUGCUAAACCCAAAUUGUGGCAAUGAUUUCAAGACCAAAAUUGACCGAGUUCUAGGAAACUAGUUUCGCAAAAAGGGUCUGAUGGGCUAUGAUUAAGAUUUCAAUGGACUAUUAUUUCUUUCUUAUCGAAUGAUUUCAAGUUUCUUCUCUUAUUUGUAAAAGAGUAUGCAACACAAAAACACUAGUGAUGAACAUAAAGUAAUUGAAAGCUCAAGUUCAUAUAUUAAGUGUUGUUUCAGGAACAAUAAAAAAUUCUUUGGAUGAGAUAAUGCAUCCAUAUUUCUAACUAACUAGUACCAAUUUUGGGCCUUUUAAUUUUUAUUAGUCUAGUCUUUUCUCCAAUUCUAACAGUUUCAGGUCCAAGUAGGACGAGUGCGCCUUGUUUUAUAUUUUUUUAUCCUUAAAUCAAAAAAUAUACAUUUCUGCAGCUAGUAGACUUGUAAGAGCUUUAUAUCAUUCAAUAUUAAAAAAAAAAAAAAAAAAAUCUAUUUGUAGUAAAUUGAGAAAUCUUUUAUUCAAAAAACCUUAAUUAUAAAAUAAAAAUUUUUACCAAAACUAAUCUUGAGCGUAUCAAUGUAUGGAUUUGAAGGGCAUGCAAACCAAUUAGAAAGAUUGAUUUACCAUAUUUUGAACUAGAAUAUUUCUCUAACUUCAAAAUCAAUAAAUAAUGAUUAUUAAAAAGAAAAAAAAUUAAAACAUAUAAUAUUCAUCAAAAUAAAAAAUUAAAAAAAUUUUAAAAAUAAUUUAAAUCUUAUUUCAAUUAGUUAAUUUCAAGUGACCACCUUUAAAGGAUCUGAUAGAUUUAAAAUAUUUCAAAUCUUAGCGUUAAUGAUCUAUUCCCAAUCACAUCUAUUGUAUAAAUUGCUUGAAGAGAACUCUUUAUUACCACAUUUAAAAAAAUAAUAAAAAAAUGAACCUAUAUCUUAUUAAUUUCUGAGGCCAAAUCGGUUACAAAAACUUACAUAGAUUGUUGGAAGUUAUAUUCCAGCAAUUAUGUGUUUUUUUUCAACCACCUUAAUCAUUUUCUGUUUCAUCCCAAUGUUCAUUUUUAGCAAUCACGAAUUUUCCACCCCUCUAUCCAUUUUCCUUGGAAGUUUAUCAUGCUAUGGGGUUUCCUUUUCUUCAUUCCAUUUCUCCAUUUUUUUUUUUUCUUUUAAUUUUCUCCUUUCUUUUAGCUCUUGCAUGACAUCAUUACCUUUUACCACCAAAGAUCCUUAAAAUUAUUGUUAAUCCUAUAAUGAAAAUUUACCCAAAUUUCAGUCUCACACGUAGAAUAAUAAAGAUUUAUUUGAAUGAAUAGUAAAAUUAUUUUUUGUGAGAUUACAAAUAAAAAUAGAGGUGAAAUUGAUAUUUGUAAUUGUGAAAUUAAAAUCAUCCAUGGAGAAUGUGUUUAGAUGUAAAAUAAUAGUGACAGUAAAAUAAAUUAUAAUAAAAAACAACUAUUAAAAGCAUUAGAUUAAAAAAUUUUAUAUAAUUAUAUAUUUAAAUUAUUUAACAUUUAUAAAAUUAAUAAAUAAUUUAAAAUUUAUUAAAUUACUUUAAUUUAAAUAAUAAUUAUAUUAAAAAUUAAAAUUAAUAAAAUAAUAAUACAUCAAAUAAUAUUUUUUCUUAUAUUAAAUUAACAAAAUUAUUUUAUAUUUUUAAUAAAAAUCAAAAUGAAAAAUAAAAAAAUUUAAUUAUAAAAAUAUAUUGUAUUUAUAUUACAGAGCAAUAAGUAAAAAAAAACAAAACAAAACAAAAAAUGACCAGGGAAAAAAAGUAAUGAGGAACUAACACAAGUUACAUUGUCUGUUUAAAUUCAAUUGGUUGCUUAGUAUCAGUGGACACAAAAACCCUUGGUAACUGCACCUCCCAUAGAGAUGCAGAUAAAGUUCAAAUUACAAUUUUACUUAGAAAGAUAGAACUAAAUUUACCACACAGAGUGCAAAUUUAUUAUUCCUAUACUUUUAAUUUAAUUAAAAACCCAAUAAAAUUAAUAAUAAAGGAAUAUUCAUGAUAAAAAUGUGCAUAUUGUAAAAAAAAAUUCCAAAUAAAAAUUAUUAGUUAAAGAAUAUUUCAUGAAAAUAUAUAAGCAGACAAAUUUCUUGUUAUAGACCUAUUCUUGUCUAGAUUCAUUGUUGUGUUUGGACCUAAUGUUUUACAUGUUAGGCUUGUUACUUUACUUGUUUGUAAGGCCUGUUUCUUAUGAAGGCCCUUAUUUAUGUUUCUUUAAUUGCUUUUUCACUAGUUGGCAACAGAGUAUCUCGGUUUAUUACUAUUAACUGAGCACAAAAUGGGAAAAAGGAGAAUUGUAG
RNAcentral lists this long non-coding RNA (5198 nucleotides) under Durio zibethinus. RNAcentral's name for it is "long non-coding RNA (DZIB_LNC001863)". Lineage: Eukaryota; Viridiplantae; Streptophyta; Magnoliopsida; Malvales; Malvaceae. The record is from RNAcentral.